RNAcentral lists this ribosomal RNA (1346 nucleotides) under uncultured bacterium. Its description in RNAcentral is "partial 16S ribosomal RNA". It matches the Rfam family "Bacterial small subunit ribosomal RNA", at positions 28 to 1381 of the family's 1533-position model. The record is from RNAcentral.
GACGAACGCUGGCGGCGUGCUUAACACAUGCAAGUCGAACGGAAAGGCCCUGCUUUUGUGGGGUGCUCGAGUGGCGAACGGGUGAGUAACACGUGAGUAACCUGCCCUUGACUUUGGGAUAACUUCAGGAAACUGGGGCUAAUACCGGAUAGGAGCUCCUGCUGCAUGGUGGGGGUUGGAAAGUUUCGGCGGUUGGGGAUGGACUCGCGGCUUAUCAGCUUGUUGGUGGGGUAGUGGCUUACCAAGGCUUUGACGGGUAGCCGGCCUGAGAGGGUGACCGGCCACAUUGGGACUGAGAUACGGCCCAGACUCCUACGGGAGGCAGCAGUGGGGAAUAUUGCACAAUGGGCGGAAGCCUGAUGCAGCAACGCCGCGUGCGGGAUGACGGCCUUCGGGUUGUAAACCGCUUUCGCCUGUGACGAAGCGUGAGUGACGGUAAUGGGUAAAGAAGCACCGGCUAACUACGUGCCAGCAGCCGCGGUGAUACGUAGGGUGCGAGCGUUGUCCGGAUUUAUUGGGCGUAAAGGGCUCGUAGGUGGUUGAUCGCGUCGGAAGUGUAAUCUUGGGGCUUAACCCUGAGCGUGCUUUCGAUACGGGUUGACUUGAGGAAGGUAGGGGAGAAUGGAAUUCCUGGUGGAGCGGUGGAAUGCGCAGAUAUCAGGAGGAACACCAGUGGCGAAGGCGGUUCUCUGGGCCUUUCCUGACGCUGAGGAGCGAAAGCGUGGGGAGCGAACAGGCUUAGAUACCCUGGUAGUCCACGCUGUAAACGGUGGGUACUAGGUGUGGGGUCCAUUCCACGGGUUCCGUGCCGUAGCUAACGCUUUAAGUACCCCGCCUGGGGAGUACGGCCGCAAGGCUAAAACUCAAAGGAAUUGACGGGGCCCCGCACAAGCGGCGGAGCAUGCGGAUUAAUUCGAUGCAACGCGUAGAACCUUGCCUGGGUUUGACAUGGAUCGGGAGUGCUCAGAGAUGGGUGUGCCUCUUUUGGGGUCGGUUCACAGGUGGUGCAUGGCUGUCGUCAGCUCGUGUCGUGAGAUGUUGGGUUAAGUCCCGCAACGAGCGCAACCCUUGUUCACUGUUGCCAGCACGUUAUGGUGGGGACUCAGUGGAGACCGCCGGGGUCAACUCGGAGGAAGGUGGGGACGACGUCAAGUCAUCAUGCCCCUUAUGUCCAGGGCUUCACGCAUGCUACAAUGGCUGGUACAGAGAGUGGCGAGCCUGUGAGGGUGAGCGAAUCUCGGAAAGCCGGUCUCAGUUCGGAUUGGGGUCUGCAACUCGACCUCAUGAAGUCGGAGUCGCUAGUAAUCGCAGAUCAGCAACGCUGCGGUGAAUACGUUCCCGGGGCU